This 254-nucleotide ribosomal RNA is filed under the name uncultured bacterium. RNAcentral's name for it is "partial 16S ribosomal RNA". It matches the Rfam family "Bacterial small subunit ribosomal RNA", at positions 524 to 776 of the family's 1533-position model. The record is from RNAcentral.
CACGUAGGGGCCAAGCGUUGUCCGGAUUUAUUGGGCGUAAAGAGCUCGUAGGCGGUUGGGUAAGUCGGGUGUGAAAACUCCGGGCUCAACUCGGAGACGCCACCCGAUACUGCUCUGACUUGAGUCCGGUAGGGGAGUGGGGAAUUCCUGGUGUAGCGGUGAAAUGCGCAGAUAUCGGGAGGAACACCGGUGGCGAAGGCGGGUCUCUGGGCCGAUACUGACGCUGAGGAGCGAAAGCGUGGGGAGCAAACAGG